Molecule: ribosomal RNA, 492 nt
Filed under: uncultured bacterium
Lineage: Bacteria
Description: partial 16S ribosomal RNA
Rfam family: Bacterial small subunit ribosomal RNA
Source: RNAcentral
AGUGAGCGCUGGCGGUAGGCCUAACACAUGCAAGUCGAACGGCAGCACAGUAAGAGCUUGCUCUUACGGGUGGCGAGUGGCGGACGGGUGAGGAAUACAUCGGAAUCUACUUUUUCGUGGGGGAUAACGUAGGGAAACUUACGCUAAUACCGCAUACGACCUACGGGUGAAAGCAGGGGAUCUUCGGACCUUGCGCGAUUGAAUGAGCCGAUGUCGGAUUAGCUAGUUGGCGGGGUAAAGGCCCACCAAGGCGACGAUCCGUAGCUGGUCUGAGAGGAUGAACAGCCACACUGGAACUGAGACACGGUCCAGACUCCUACGGGAGGCAGCAGUGGGGAAUAUUGGACAAUGGGCGCAAGCCUGAUCCAGCCAUACCGCGUGGGUGAAGAAGGCCUUCGGGUUGUAAAGCCCUUUUGUUGGGAAAGAAAAGCAGCAGGUUAAUACCCCGCUGUUCUGACGGUACCCAAAGAAUAAGCACCGGCUAACUUCGUG